Molecule: unclassified non-coding RNA, 385 nt
Filed under: uncultured bacterium
Lineage: Bacteria
Description: contains 16S-23S intergenic spacer region
Source: RNAcentral
UCCUCGUUUAAGCGAGGCAGUCUGUCCAGAGUGCUCCGAGCUCUCGCUCAGGUGGCAACAGGACACAAGGGUUGCGCUCGUUGCGGGACUUAACCCAACAUCUCACGACACGAGCUGACGACAGCCAUGCAGCACCUGUGCACCCUGAUAUUGCUAUCUCGUCGGGCUUUCACCCUUCUACUAGAUGCAUGUCAAGGCCAGGUAAGGUUCUUCGCGUUGCAUCGAAUUAAGCCACAUACUCCACCGCUUGUGCAGGCCCCCGUCAAUUCCUUUGAGUUUUAAUCUUGCGACCGUACUCCCCAGGCGGAAUGCUUAAAGCGUUAGCUGCGCCACUGACGAGCAAGCUCGCCAACGGCUAGCAUUCAUCGUUUACGGCGUGGACUAC